RNAcentral lists this non-coding RNA (29 nucleotides) under Rattus norvegicus (Norway rat). The record is from RNAcentral. Lineage: Eukaryota; Metazoa; Chordata; Mammalia; Rodentia; Muridae.
UCAGGGUGUUCUGCUCAGCUAGCAACUGA